UACGUAGGGUGCAAGCGUUAAUCGGAAUUACUGGGCGUAAAGCGUGCGCAGGCGGUCGUGGAAGACAGUUGUGAAAUCCCCGGGCUCAACCUGGGAACUGCAUUUGUGACUGCACGGCUCGAGUGCGGCAGAGGGGGAUGGAAUUCCGCGUGUAGCAGUGAAAUGCGUAGAUAUGCGGAGGAACACCGAUGGCGAAGGCAAUCCCCUGGGCUAACACUGACGCUCAGGCACGAAAGCGUGGGGAGCAAACAGG
Molecule: ribosomal RNA, 253 nt
Filed under: uncultured bacterium
Lineage: Bacteria
Description: partial 16S ribosomal RNA
Rfam family: Bacterial small subunit ribosomal RNA
Source: RNAcentral